UACGUAGGGUGCGAGCGUUGUCCGGAAUUAUUGGGCGUAAAGAGCUCGUAGGCGGUGUGUCGCGUCGGCCGUGAAAACCUGCAGCUUAACUGUGGGCUUGCGGUCGAUACGGGCAUCACUGGAGUUCGGCAGGGGAGACUGGAAUUCCUGGUGUAGCGGUGAAAUGCGCAGAUAUUAGGAGGAACACCGGUGGCGAAGGCGGGUCUCUGGGCCGAUACUGACGCUGAGGAGCGAAAGCGUGGGGAGCGAACAGG
Molecule: ribosomal RNA, 254 nt
Filed under: uncultured bacterium
Lineage: Bacteria
Description: partial 16S ribosomal RNA
Rfam family: Bacterial small subunit ribosomal RNA
Source: RNAcentral